AUGACAAAAAAAAAAAAAAAAAGUUUUUAUUUUCCUUGAUAUUAAUAGAACUCAUAAAAGGAAAUAUUACAAGCUUUCACUGAGCUUUGUGAAUGUAAGUCACCAUAGAAAUGGAAAGUAUUGUUAUUAAAAAGAAAAACAGUGAUUUCAGGUCCUGAGCCAAAACGAGCCAGGAUAUGGAAAGAGCCACAUCCAAAGCCCUCUGGAAUUAAUCAAAGUCUUUCCAUUGCUUGCUGUGGAACUUUAUUCAAGUUGUGAAUUUCUCAUGGUGACAUCUGUGCGUCCUUCAGUGAUGGAUGUGGUGAAACAGUGCUGAAGACAAUCACAGAGAGAUGCCAUUGCUGCAAAAUGACAAUUUCCUGGCUUUGUGUAGCAUUUCUUCAGUUUUUCAUGCCAUUCUUUGGAUGUCAUCAUUCAUCUGUUUCCCACGACUCUUUUCUGUUUCCUACUUCGAUUUAAUCCCCCCCUUUUUUUCUCCUUUCACAAGGUAAAGUAAUAACUUAUACAAUCAGAUAUAAAACAUCAUUCUGGAAAAUGACAAGUCAUACUUUCUGGUUUACUCUAUAGUAUUUAUUUUCUGCUUUCCACAGGUAAGGGUGGAAAUGAAGUACAGUAUUUGAGACUACCUGAGGAAUAACACCAUCAGUCCUUUCCCAUGUGAGAUGAAAUUACAACAUGUUUUCAUGCCACUUCUCCAUGUGUAAGUUCUGAUGUCUUCUUACAUUAGAAAUAUGCAGGAAAAAUGAAAGUGUAGUCAUUUCCUUGCUUUCCAUUUCAUAGGAAAACACAUUUAUAUGAUUUUGUUCCAUCACUUUGAAACUGCGGGAGAGUUUAGGUCCAAUUUAGGUCUCCUAAACAUGUGCAAAGUUAUAUGAGUUCAACUUAUGUAAGCCUUGCAUGAGUGUUACUGAGCUGGACUACUGCUCCUCAGUGCAUGCAUUGUCCUGCAACACAAUUGUCCAGCUCAUAGCUGGCCCAAAGGGACUAAGGAAGUACACAAUACACACCUAGAAAACAGUACAUUGUCAAUAUGUGGGGGUGAUACCUUCACUUUGAUCUACACAAACUGGGAGCAGGAGCAACUUGGAUUUGUGCAUUGAGGAUGUGUAGGUCUAGAAAGGGUCUCUAGAUUCCAGAAACACUGUGAUAUGGCAGGCUUUUAAAGAUUAUUCCACUUUAGUAAAACAAUAAGAAAGCAAAGAGAGACUAUUGACUUCCCAAAUAAGUCUGACACAGUGAACAUCACUGCCUGCUAUUUCUUUCCCCUCAUAAAAAACUUUUUUUAAGCACCACACCUAAUACCUUCAAAACCAUCAAGUCUUGUCUCCAACCAAAGUAAUAUUUCAUUCUAUCUGAAAUCUAGUCAAUCUGGCAGGGCUGGUGUACCAAACUCUCCCAUUAUGUGGUUAUCAAAAAGAAAAUAAGGUUACUGAACGUGUCUGCAUCACAUCUUACCUUCUGAACAAGCAAACUUGGUUUGACAUAGACCCUUGAAACAAGGCUUUCCUUUCCUAAAUGCCCUUUUCUGUGUCUUUUAUUUCUUGAGCUCUCUCUAGUCCCAAAUUUAUGUUGAAACUAUUUCAAAGUCAGAUAUUUUUCUGUCUCACUCUUUUCUCAAAGCCUCUAUAAAACUGACCUCAUUGUGCAGGGUGGUCUGUCCUUUCAUUUUAGGCUGUUGGAAGGGCAAGUAAAAGCCUCUUGUGUAUGUUAGCAAAACUUCUCCUUCGUUGACAAACAGCCACUAAAUGGUGACAUGGAUACUCACAUUCUGGAAGUAAUCAUGUGAAGCAGCAGCUAGGAUAAACUAAAGCUGCCUUCUCCAUGUGCUAUCUUGAGUAUUUGCCUCCAGGGAGUGAGAUUUUAGUAGCAUUCCUCUGUUAUAAAAUACUUGAGUGACCACAGUGACUUCCCCAAGUGUCUGACCAUAGGUCUGAAUUUUCCUGAAAAUUUGGAAUAGGUACUCCCUGAAUCGUUACAGAUAACACAAGGUCCCAUGGUGGAUUUAAAAUUGUUGAACAGGAAAGUUCAGGUGUUUUGUGAGGUCCAAAUCCAUCACCAGAACAUCUUCUUCCCAUGAAAUAUUUGUCCAGUCUCCUAUUAAAACUUUUAUCACAGAGAAGCCUGAAAAUCCUUCACCUAUUCUUGGGCUUCACUGGCUCUGCAAUUGAUAAACUUUUGUUUCACUUCAUUGUCCUUUUUUUCAGGCUAAAGCCACUGUUUACCCAUCCACUACAGGCAGAACAUGCCUCAACCAUUCAACAUCUUGCUCUGAGAAAAGCAAAGCAGCUCAGUUAUUGCAGGAUAGCCUGGCACAGUGGGAAAAGGUGAUAGGAAAUUAUAACAAACCCCUGCCAGAAGAAUUUUGAUGUAAUCUUUGAUUUAGCCAUGAAAAGUAUAUAUUUUAAAAUUACUCCAUAACUAUUGGUUCAUAAUUUGGAAAAGUUAUAGUUGACUUCCUGUACAUGAAGAGAGCCUACGAGAGAGCUGGAGAGGCACUUUUUACAAGGGCAUGUAGUGCCAGGACAUGGGCUAGUGGCUUCAAACCUAGAGCAGGUUUAGAUUAGGUGGUAGAAGGAAAUUCUUUACUGUAAGAAGGGUGAGCCACUGGAACAGGUUGACCAGAGAAGCUGUGGAUGUCUCUCUCAUCCCUGAGAAUGCUCCAGGCCAGUGUGGAUGGGGUUCUGAGCAACUUGGUCUAGCGGACUAUGUGUCUGCCGAAGGCAGGGGGGUUAGAACUGGAUGAACUUUAACAUCUUUUCCAAUCCAAACCACUCUAUGACUCUGUGAUUCUGUAAGAUUACUGUUUGGAUUUUCAGGGGCUGGCUGCAUAGCUGCAGAUCAAAAUAAUUGGCUGAGGUGUGACCAGCCUUCAGGUGGAAACUCAAUAUCUAUCUAAAUUUUAAAUGAAAUGCCCAAACAAAAGAGGUCUGAUGAAAUCCCUUCCACUUUUCAUACAGGCAUAUAUCUUCUCUGUGCAGCCAGGAGCUGGAGUGAAUUCUCCGGACAUCUCAUUUACUCAAGUCAGAUUCUGGUAGGGAACGUAGCAGAACCUUUCUCAAAUGCCACAUGUACUUCAGUAGCCUUGUAGGCCACUAAUUGUAGAAUCCCCAGACCAAGUGACUAAAAUAGAAACUAUUUUCUUUUUCAUUCUGAUCCCCAUAACAUUGUCACUUUGAGUUAGGAAGGGAUUUAGAGCACAAAAUAUAAGAUUAAAAAAAAAAUAGAUGCUUCAUCCUAAAUCUUACUACUACAGAAAUAAUAUCAUUGGUCAUGGCCUUCAGAUUUAGGAAAUUAUGCUUUCAAACAAAAGUGAAUAUAAGACACAAGCAAGACUCGAUUUCAGCCAAAACACAUUAAGAGGUAAGACUUGUCAAAAAUACAAUAAUGGCAACAGUAAGGGAAUUUAGUUUGACCUGCAUUUUUUGAACAUCUUUUUCAUUAUAAAAUAUUAUUUUGGAAUAUCAAAUUGCCCAAACUGUUUAACUUGUGUUAAGCAAGUCUUAUAGAGUCACACCAUACAAAGAAUUAUUUUUUAGCAUUUUUCAGUAAGAAAGCAUCAAAGCAUUCAUUCUUCAUUGGGAUUUUUGAAAGUAUCACACCCAUCUAUUUAUAAACUGAUGAAUUGCUCUAAAAACAAAGAUCGGUUAGAAAAAAUAAACCAGAGGAGACUGUAGACUACAUAGAAGAAUUCAAAGUGACGACAUAUGGCUUCUGGCACCAGUGUUCUGCAGUUGUGCUGGAAGAGAGAAGAGAAUGGAAAGAAGGAGUAUUACCCAAAAUGGUAUUGAUUUAAAAUGUGAAUGUCUUGAUAUGGAUCUUCUAAUAUGGGGGCUACACCUGGAUUUAUGAAGUAGUGAACUGCUAGGAGGAAAGGGUACAACUGCAAACCUGGUGGAUAUGAACAACUAUAAACAAAAGAGUCACCAAGAUGGCCCCAUAUGUUUUAGUUGAGUUUAGGCAAGUGUCCCCCACAAAUAACUCGGCUGAUUGUUACUAAUCAGAGUUCAGAACAGGCACAAAAGCUUAACUAUUUGCAUGGUUACUCUUAAUCAAAUUCACUUUGAGUUUCCUAUGUAUGUCUGUAUCAAGUUCACUGUUUGAAUUUCUUUACUAUCAGGUACUUCCCUCAGGAAUUCAAUUGCUGAAAUAUGGAGCAUGCGCUGUUUGCAUUUCCCCAAGAGAUUUCUAGACUUUUUUUUCCCCACAGAAAUAACACUUGAAAACAGCAUAUCUAUCCUGCCAGCUCAGAAACUAAAAUGAGAGGCAGGCAUUCGGGAACACAACGCUCUAACCAGUUCCACGAAAACAAACACACAGAACUUCUCAGAAACAAAUUUAUCUCAGGAAGUUUAAGCAGGUAAAACUUAUUCAUCUCAGACUGCAAUUUUAAAGUGACUACAGUGAUACUUCCAAGGGGCUGCCUAAUGUACAUGUGGAAAAGUAUCCCACAAGUUCUAGUGUUGGCUCUUGGGAAGAGAAAAACCUUCUGUCAGGCUUACCUGGGCUGUGGGAAACCAACACUAUGGUUCUUCAACAUCAGUGGACUGAGAGAGGGAGCAUUUAAACUCAUCUCAGUUUUCUUAGAUAACAACCUAAACAUAACUUAUCAGAUAAGCCUCCUCUGGAGAGAACUGUUUCUUUCUGUUGGAUGUAAUGGGAGGCUUUAAUGUAUAGCUCUAAUUCAUAGACAUCCAGUUUGGGUGAGAUAAAAAACAUGAGAAUCAGUGUGAGAAACGCAGUUUUGGGCACCUCAUUACACCUCUGUGAAAGGAAUGAAUGAAUAAUUUUUCAGAAUUUAGUAAUUAAGCCCACCAAAUGCAAAUGAUAGAAAUUUGCAUGUCUGCAUGUAAAAGGAAGAGAGUAAAAGAAUUUGAAGAAAUAAGGCUGUCCUGUAAAUCGCUGUUUAUUUUGGACACAUUUUCGCUGUUGCUAUUUAUAUCCUGGUCCCCAGACUAAAGUGGGAUGGAAAGCUGCUGUGUUACUGCAAGGUUUUGGUGUAUGUUUUGCUACCGCUCCUAGAACCAUUACUGCUGUUUGAUGUAGAUUCCUUUACUGUUCUUAAAAAUCAGAAGUUUCUCCAAGAUACUUAAUGAUUUGGUUGUUUCAUAGAAAAAAAGUAAAAGGAAGAGAAGAUGCUGAAUAAUAUAAAAUAAAUUACUUCUGUGUUUACGUUUUGGGUCGAUUUCUCAACUGGUUGCGGUAUUUGCUUGCAACGCUGAAUACAACAAAAUGUUCUUAGAAAGAAAGGAUUGGAAAAUCAGGGUCAGAGACUUUGCAAAUGUGGAAUACAAGUGUAUUUCUUUGGAAAGAUGUCAGGUUCUAUCAGCAAGGCCAGCAAAGACUGACACCUAAACAUCUAGUCCACAAAAGGCAGCAGUUUCCAGCCCUGUCCCCUGAGGGGUUUGACCCUUUCAUCAGUAGCACAUUGUUUGGUUGAGAAUGGUGUCUCUGGCUCCCAUCAACUUCCUACUAGGAUUGCUUAGUCUCUAACUUGGGCAGGAAAAAUACUGACUGGAAAAAUACCCUUGAAAGGGUGCCAGUCUCUGAUUUCAGUCCACUUUCUGCCAAGGUCAAAUUCCCCUCCAUUUCUAAACUUUUUUCAUUUAGUAUUAUUCCCUGUGGUUGAGAAGAAUUUCCCAUGGACACCAUUGGAACUGUUUCAUAAUUCUUUAUACUAACCUAACUCUCAUUAAAUGUAAAGCUAUAAGAAGCUAAAAUUACAGUAUUACAAUAUUUGGCCCUUGAAUUUGCCCGGUACUAUGAUGAAAAGUGCCUCUCUUCAGUGACCCUGGUUGGAAUGCUGGAUGAAGGCAAGUCAGUCUGUGCUCAGCCAGGUGGGAAUGCUGCUGCCUCAAGGGAAGUGUCCUGCCAGCAGUCCUGCCUUGAACAGAUUUGCAUAGCAGAAGUAAACUAACCCUAAUAUGCACUUUUCUACAGACAUUUUAUUAAACACAGUAGAAAUAGUUUUUUACACAGGUACUCUAUGAAAUAUACUCUAUGAAAUAAAGUAUGCAUGUCUUUUCAAGUUAAUGUUUCACACUUGAUUUGUUGGUGUUUUUUUCUUCUUUCACUUCUAUUUGCAUGAUGGGCUUGUACAGUGGUUUUGUUUUGUUUUUAAUUACACUGCUGUGUGUUUCCUUUUUUUCAUUAAGUACAGCAUCCUCUUGUACUCUGCUGGACAAUUCUCUCCUUAUACUUUACGCUUUUGUCCUUGCCCCCACAUGAAUCUGCUUUGCCAAGUUUUCAGCUGACAUAACAUUGUUCAUAUCCAGGAAGUUACUGAGCUCCUACUGCUUUCCCACUUCUGUUUAACUAUGGAUUAAACAGACAGCCUCUCUUCAGCUGCCUGCAAGGUCUCACUGUUUUGCUAGCUGGGACCACAUUUUUCAGAAGUGACAGUUUUGGGAGCAUUUUGGGAGAAAGGGUUUUCUGGUAUACAUCAGGACUCUUGACUGCUGCCUGCGUGCCAGUCUAUAUGGAACAAAACCUGUGUCUCAUUAUUGCCAUGAAUAAAAGAAAACAGAGUAAUUUAAAACAAUAUCCAAAAUAAAUGGCAAUAGUAAUUUGUGGAACUAUCUGAAAAUAUGCUAGAGCAAUUCAGAUGCUAGAAAUCCUCCAGUAUAAUCUAUAACCAGUGCUAGCUGCAGGCAGUACAGAUGCAAAACACUGAAAGAGAGCCAUAGUAAGAGAGUCACAAGGAAAGCACUACUCCUU
Taeniopygia guttata (zebra finch) is the source of this 6714-nucleotide long non-coding RNA. The record is from Ensembl. NCBI's taxonomy places the organism in Eukaryota, Metazoa, Chordata, Aves, Passeriformes, Estrildidae.